RNAcentral lists this ribosomal RNA (492 nucleotides) under uncultured bacterium. RNAcentral describes it as "bacterial SSU rRNA". It matches the Rfam family "Bacterial small subunit ribosomal RNA", at positions 8 to 518 of the family's 1533-position model. The record is from RNAcentral.
AGAGUUUGAUUAUGGCUCAGAACGAACGCUGGCGGCAUGCCUAAUACAUGCAAGUCGAACGGAGAUAGCAAUAUCUUAGUGGCGAACGGGUGCGUAACACGUGAGCAACCUGCCUUAUACAUCGGAAUAACAGCUGGAAACGGCUGCUAAUACCGGAUAAGACCACACCAAGGCAUCUUGGAGAGGUCAAAGCGAAUUAGCGGUAUAAGAUGGGCUCGCGUCCAAUUAGCUAGUUGGUGGGGUAACGGCCCACCAAGGCAACGAUUGGUAGCCGACUUGAGAGAGUGAUCGGCCACACUGGAACUGAGACACGGUCCAGACUCCUACGGGAGGCAGCAGUAGGGAAUAUUGGGCAAUGGAGGAAAAACCUCUUACCCAGCAAUGCCGCGUGAAUGAUGAAGGUCUUAUGGAUUGUAAAGUUCUUUAAUUGGGGACGAAAGAAAUGACGGUACCCAAAGAAUAAGCCCCGGCUAACUAUGUGCCAGCCGCGGC